Molecule: long non-coding RNA, 408 nt
Filed under: Bos indicus x Bos taurus (hybrid cattle)
Lineage: Eukaryota; Metazoa; Chordata; Mammalia; Artiodactyla; Bovidae
Description: lncRNA (ENSBIXG00000010157.1)
Source: RNAcentral
CUCAGCUGCUCAGUCAGAAUCGGGCUGAGCAUCCUCCAUAAGCCGCUGAUGUCUGGGAUCUGGAAAUGUGCAGCUGCCUCUGUCUAGGAUGAUGGUCACAGAUAUACCUUUGAUGGCUUUAAGGAAAUUGACAUAGCAUCACCCAACAACCAUCUGUUCUCAUACUUUAAGCCUACUCUCGGAAUCACUGCAAGUAGAGAGGGGAACUCUCUUCAGCGUUAUGUUGGAGUUCUACUUGGUAUCCUCAAGGGAGGCAAAACAUGUAGACCUUGGGAGCUCAUUUUCUGACAGAAUUUGGAACUUACCACUGUGAGAUCCAGGGAAAAUUACUUAACCUCUCUGAGUCUGCUUUCUCAGACUAUUGACUGUGUCUGUAUUGGAAGGAGAUCAUCGUAGUACUUGUUGGGU